CAAGACCUUCACAGAGCACAUAGAUGCUGCAGAAGGUAGCACUGAAGAUUUAGUAGAUUUACUGAACCAGUGUCACACAUGGUGUUAGGGGACAAUCUAUUGCUGAACAUGCCACUUUUCCAAGAGCUCUGCACAAUAGGUUGACUCUAAACCAACAAAACCCUUCAGGAGCUCUGCCUUGAGACAGAGAAUUCUCAGACUGGGAUGUAGCAAUCGACCAAUAUCCUGCAAGAGGAGCUGAGGAACAACUGGAAGAUCUAUCACUGGACAGAUAGCUAGGUGAAGCAGGAAUCAGUGGAUUUCCUCACAUUCAAUUGAGGGCCCAAGUCCAAAUAUAAGGCAAGCAUCCUCCAUGUGGCAGACAGAACCUCCUUGUAUGACCAACUCUUGAACAGCCAAUUGUCAAGAGCAGCUAUAACAAGUUUCCACGUAGAAUACAAAAGGAAUAUUUAGUUUCCCAACUGCCUGAUUGUGUACUUCCAGGUCCAAAUGAGGCAUUUCACCCAUAUAAGUGAAGACAGAACUGCCCCUUUAAACCACUUUAUUUGUGUUUUGCUUGUGAAGUCAAGGAAAUCUGGAGUACAUACUUUUGGUUUUGUAUCUGUGUCUAUGAUUCCCAAGUGUGAUCAACUGCUUCCCCACAUCAAUUUCUCAUAAUUUGCUGACAGACAGCAGACUAUGGCUAUGCUUGCUAGGGCCAUGCAGAAUUAAGAUCACCAUGCUACCCACACUAUUUGCCAAAACUCUUUUCAAUUACAAAACAAUUCCUCUGACAAAUUCACAACAAACUAUUCAAUGGCAUCAGUUCAUGUCAAAAACAAGAUAUGAAGAGACUUGGAGUGUCUGGGUUGAACUGUUUUGGAGUUAUGAUUAUCCAAAACAAAAGUCAGGAAAACACUCAAGAGCUGAGAUCACCAUACUAUAUGAACCCUCACUUCUCCCAUAUGACCUGUCACAACUGUCUCAAAACUUCUCAUAAAAAUGCAACCUUGCUGCAGGAGCAUGCUCAUGAAGUUUCAGGUGGAUUAUUUUGACCCCCCACACCUAAAACAAAAUUUACAGAGUCCUUUAGGAUAUGAAGCAAGUCAUCCGUGUAAUCUGCAAAAAGCUACCGGCCAUUGAAAAGUAAAUAUUCCACCGUCAAUUGUACCUCCCGCACAGACCCAG
This is a long non-coding RNA of Mauremys reevesii (Reeves's turtle), 1167 nucleotides long. RefSeq lists it as uncharacterized. The record is from RefSeq and is a predicted model, not a curated record. NCBI's taxonomy places the organism in Eukaryota, Metazoa, Chordata, Testudines, Geoemydidae. The transcript has 7 exons.